GUUACUGCUAUCGGGGUUCGAUUAAGCCAUACAAGUUAAAUGUUUUUCGUAAACAUAGCGAACUGCUCAGUAACACGUGGAUAACUUAACCUUAGGUCCGGCAUAACCCCGGGAAACUGGGGAUAAUUCCGGAUGUAUCAAGGAUGCUGGAAUGCCCUUUGGUUCAAAGCUUUUGUGCCUAAGGAUAGGUCUGCGGUCUAUCAGGUAGUAGUGGGUGUAACGUACCUACUAGCCGACGACGGAUACGGGUUGUGAGAGCAAGAGCCCGGAGAUGGAUUCUGAGACACGAAUCCAGGCCCUACGGGGUGCAGCAGGCGCGAACACUUUACAAUGCGGGAAACCGCGAUAAGGGAACCCCGAGUGCCAGUACUAAGUGCUGGCUGUCUAGAUGAAUAGAUAUCAUUUAAUAGCAAGGGCCGGGCAAGACCGGUGCCAGCCGCCGCGGUAACACCGGCGGCCCGAGUGGUAACCGAUAUUAUUGGGUCUAAAGGGUCCGUAGCCUGUUUAAUAAGUCCUUUGGGAAAUCUGGCAGCUUAACUGUCAGGCUGCUAAAGGAUACUGUUAAACUUGGGACCGGUAGACGUAGGGGGUACUCCAGGGGUAGGAGUGAAAUCUUGUAAUCCCUGGGGGACCAUCUGUGGCGAAGGCGCCCUACGAGAACGGGUCCGACGGUGAGGGACGAAAGCUAGGGGAGCAAACCGGAUUAGAUACCCGGGUAGUCCUAGCUGUAAACGAUGCUCGCUAGGUGUCAGGCACGGUGCGUCCGUGUCUGGUGCCGCAGGGAAGCCGUUAAGCGAGCCACCUGGGGAGUACGGUCGCAAGGCUGAAACUUAAAGGAAUUGGCGGGGGAGCACUACAACGGGUGGAGCCUGCGGUUUAAUUGGAUCAACGCCGGA
RNAcentral lists this ribosomal RNA (896 nucleotides) under uncultured archaeon. RNAcentral describes it as "bacterial SSU rRNA". It matches the Rfam family "Archaeal small subunit ribosomal RNA", at positions 23 to 922 of the family's 1478-position model. The record is from RNAcentral.